Sinocyclocheilus anshuiensis is the source of this 97-nucleotide long non-coding RNA. RefSeq lists it as uncharacterized. The record is from RefSeq and is a predicted model, not a curated record. The transcript is spliced from 3 exons. Lineage: Eukaryota; Metazoa; Chordata; Actinopteri; Cypriniformes; Cyprinidae.
UGCGCUUCGGCUGUUGCGUUGCACUUUGUCCCUCUCGUCAAAGUGUUCCUCCAUGUCGUCCAGUCAAAUUAGGUCUAAAGCUGACUAUUUAGUGAAU